This 481-nucleotide ribosomal RNA is filed under the name uncultured bacterium. RNAcentral describes it as "partial 16S ribosomal RNA". It matches the Rfam family "Bacterial small subunit ribosomal RNA", at positions 28 to 507 of the family's 1533-position model. The record is from RNAcentral.
GAUGAACGCUGGCGGCGUGCUUAACACAUGCAAGUCGAACGAAGCAUUUAAGACAGAUUCCUUCGGUUUGAAGUCUUUUAUGACUGAGUGGCGGACGGGUGAGUAACGCGUGGGUAACCUGCCUCAUACAGGGGGAUAGCAGCUGGAAACGGCUGGUAAUACCGCAUAAGCGCACAGUACCACAUGGUACAGUGUGAAAAACUCCGGUGGUAUGAGAUGGACCCGCGUCUGAUUAGCUUGUUGGCGGGGUAACGGCCCACCAAGCCGACGAUCAGUAGCCGACCUGAGAGGGUGACCGGCCACAUUGGGACUGAGACACGGCCCAGACUCCUACGGGAGGCAGCAGUGGGGAAUAUUGCACAAUGGAGGAAACUCUGAUGCAGCGACGCCGCGUGAGUGAAGAAGUAGUUCGCUAUGUAAAGCUCUAUCAGCAGGGAAGAUAGUGACGGUACCUGACUAAGAAGCUCCGGCUAAAUACGUG